Molecule: ribosomal RNA, 253 nt
Filed under: uncultured bacterium
Lineage: Bacteria
Description: partial 16S ribosomal RNA
Rfam family: Bacterial small subunit ribosomal RNA
Source: RNAcentral
UACGUAGGGGGCAAGCGUUAUCCGGAUUUACUGGGUGUAAAGGGAGCGUAGGCGGCAAGGUAAGCCAGAAGUGAAAGCCCGCGGCUCAACUGCGGGACUGCUUUUGGAACUAUCUAGCUAGAUUGCAGGAGAGGUAAGUGGAAUUCCUAGUGUAGCGGUGAAAUGCGUAGAUAUUAGGAGGAACACCAGUGGCGAAGGCGGCUUACUGGACUGUAAAUGACGCUGAGGCUCGAAAGCGUGGGGAGCAAACAGG